Molecule: ribosomal RNA, 253 nt
Filed under: uncultured bacterium
Lineage: Bacteria
Description: partial 16S ribosomal RNA
Rfam family: Bacterial small subunit ribosomal RNA
Source: RNAcentral
UACGGAGGAUCCAAGCGUUAUCCGGAUUUAUUGGGUUUAAAGGGUGCGUAGGCGGUUUAUUAGGUCAGUGGUGAAAGCCCGGAGCUCAACUUCGGAACUGCCAUUGAUACUGAUAGACUUGAGUACAGAUGAAGUGGGCGGAAUGUGACAAGUAGCGGUGAAAUGCUUAGAUAUGUCACAGAACACCGAUUGCGAAGGCAGCUCACUAAAGUGUAACUGACGCUGAGGCACGAAAGCGUGGGGAUCAAACAGG